CUGGAUGGGACAAAUGCAAUUAUGACCUUUGACCUCAGAUCAGGUAGGGUUACCC
Molecule: ribosomal RNA, 55 nt
Filed under: Fomitopsis sp. E7395
Lineage: Eukaryota; Fungi; Basidiomycota; Agaricomycetes; Polyporales; Fomitopsidaceae
Description: partial 26S ribosomal RNA
Source: RNAcentral